UCAUUUUGUAAAACCUCAUUAAGUUGUGCAACUCUAAACAAUGCACUCCCAGUGUUUGUGCUUUAUGGCAGCAGGGGUCAGGUUGUCUAGAAGCAGACUGAGAUAAGCAUCUUUGCGCAUGGUCAUUGGGGCAGGUGCUCUUGAGAAUACUCUCUAGAGAGAUGGAAGACUUGGGUGUAGAAGAGGCCAGAGGAGCUACACGACAAAGGCCUCAGACCAUUGUCCCAGGAGAUCUUCAGGGAAUGCUGUACAGCGGGAAAGAAGUUGCUCCAAAGGAAGAACAUUGAUUCAGGGCGAAAAGUAGCCUCUCCUUCCAUCCCAGGCGCCAUCAUAAAUGCUCACGAGUUCCAACAGAGCGGCUGGAGCAGGAGCCGGUGGAGACGGAACCAGGAGCUUGGCCAAGGGAAGCUCGUUUCUGGCAAAUCUCCCGCCCUUCGCAAACAAUUUUCUUUGGACGCCUUUCUUUCCUUCCUGUUCCCUAACCCCUAUUUAAACCUGAAGGUGCCCCAUGCCUUCACAGCUCUAGCCGUAUGUGAGCAGGACUAGGCUGAGUGGGGCAAGAAGCACAGAACCAGAUCUGUCAUCCUACGUCACCACCUGCGAGCUGCUUUGUGGCUUAUGGAGCCGGUCUUGGGAUGAUUGUUUCCAGAAGAGCAUUCUGUCUAGGUGACGAAAGGACCCAGAAGCCUGGGGAAAGCAGAGUGGUACUUGGGGUGUCACUUGAUGGACAAUCACAUUAUGUUGAGACCCUGUGUUCAAUCUGUAGUACCUACGUCCCUGUCCAAAGAAAAGAGAGCUGCAGAUCUACAGCAGUCAUUGAUAUGUUUCGUAAAAUGAGCGAGUCCUUCCUGUAACAGUCUUUAGUUCCAGCACUGCCUGUGGACUUGGCUGCAGGUGCUCUAUUAAAAAGCCGCCUCGCCCGGCAUGGUGGCGCACGCCUUUAAUCCCAGCACUUGGGAGGCAGAGGCAGGCGAAUUUCUGAGUUUGAGGCCAGCCUGGUCUACAGAGUGAGUUCCAGGACAGCCCGGACUGCACAGAGAAACCCUGUCUCGGAAAAAAAAAAAAAGCCAUCUCAGUGGACAGUUGUGGGGUGGCUUCCCAGAACUGCCUUUCUCUUUGGCAAAAUGUUCCUUGAAAUUAUUGGCAUUCUUGUUUCACAGUGUGCAUGUGCCUCCACACUGGAGGGAUAUGUGCGUGACCUACAGUGAGCUGGUGGUAGGAAUCUCUUGUCACAGAGAUCUUCCCAGUAACCCCAGUAACGUCGUAUGGUGUAAGCCAGACUACUAGAAAUUCACAAGCAAGGCAUGUCACACCAAAGCUAAUGGAACAGUGUCUUUCCAUUAUGAUGGGUAAGCUGAAAGAAUCUGAACCUUCUGACAGAUGUGGUGUGUGUACUUUAACUAAAUAAAAUCACCUCAAGAUACAUAAAAGAGAAAAAAAAGGGAGAGUAAAUAUAUAUACUCACAUAUAUAUACAUAUAUUUGGAGAGAGAGAAGAGAGAGAGAAUGUUAAUGUGUGGGAGCUGGAGAGAGACCCCAGCCCUGAGGGACACCAUUCCUUCAGAAAACCUGGGUUCAAUUCCCAGCCCUCACAUGGAAACUCACAACCAUCUAAACUUCAGUUGCAGGGAAUCUGGUCCCUCUGCUGACCUUAGCAGUGCCCAGGCAUGCACAUGGGACUCACACACACACACACGGAAGAAAAAACUCAUAAAAUAAAAGACAUAAGUCUAAUUUAAAAAAAAAAAAGUUUAUGUGUGUUUCAGGUGUGUGUAGAGUACACACAUGUGAGUGUGGACACAAACACAUAAUUCUGAAUGUAGAGGCCAGAGGUCAACAUUAGGUUUUUCCCCUGGAUUGCUGUGCACCUUAUUUUUCCAGAUAGGGUCGCCCACUGAACCUGGAGUUCUGUGAGUCAGCUAGACCAGCCAACGGGAAGGAUCAGUCGCCCCUGGCCCUCCCAGCUCUACAUCACAGCCACACCCUAGCCAACGGGAAGGAUCAGUCGCCCCUGGCCCUCCCAGCUCUGGAGUUAUAGGUACACAUCACAGCCACACCCAGCUUACGUGAGUGGUGUGGAUCUGACUUCAGGUCCUGUGUGUGCAUGGCAGGCAUUUUAAGGACAGAGUCACCACCUCACUCCUCAGCCUCAGUCCUUUUCUUUUACGAAGUAUUAUAGAUGACAUUUUGAUAUUUAUUGUUUUGCAGUGCUGACAAUCAAAUCCAGGAUUUCAGGGUUAUACUUUAGUGAGUGAGCUUCAGCCCCACUGAAAACUUUAAUAUUGUGACCACACACACACACACCUUGUUUCCUAACACAUGAUGAGCAGACCUUCCAUAUAGCAUAGGCAACCCCAGCUUAAUCAAUAGCAGGUCCCUCCUCCAGUAUCAGAAAUGUCCCAGGUGGGUGAUACAUUACUGAUCAUUAUUUGUAUUUCGAUGUGACUAUAAUAAAAACAAUAAAAUCAGUUCUCUUAA
Mus musculus (house mouse) is the source of this 2477-nucleotide long non-coding RNA. RefSeq annotates it as predicted gene, 35312. The record is from RefSeq and is a predicted model, not a curated record. NCBI's taxonomy places the organism in Eukaryota, Metazoa, Chordata, Mammalia, Rodentia, Muridae. The transcript has 3 exons.